RNAcentral lists this small nuclear RNA (107 nucleotides) under Procavia capensis (Cape rock hyrax). The record is from RNAcentral. Lineage: Eukaryota; Metazoa; Chordata; Mammalia; Hyracoidea; Procaviidae.
GCACUUGUUUCAAUUGCACAUAUACUGAAACUAGAAUGAUUCAGAGGAGAUUAGCAUGGUACCUGCACAGGGACAACAUACAAAUUCCUGAAACAUUCUAUCUUUUU